GUUGACCAGACGGCCGCCGUUUCGUUUAACCGCGGUAUGACACCGUGAAGUGAACGGGAGGGAGGAAAGUCCGAACUCCAAAGGGCAGUGCGCCGGGUAAUACCCGGGCAGGGCAACCUGACGGAAAGUGGCACAGAAAACAAACCGCCGACGGCAUGUCGGGUUGGGGUGCAACCACACCGCACUCGAACCCGGCAUGCCAGCUGGUAAGGGUGAAAAGGUGCGGUAAAAGCGCACCGCAUUUGUGGUAACACAGAUGGCAGGCUAAACCCCGCACGGAGCAAGAUCAAAUAGGGUGGCGUUAAUAGGACUGCUCGUCCAAGGCUACCGGGUAGGUCGCUUGAACCUGCGAGCAAUCGUAGGGCUAGAGGAAUGGUCGUCACGUCGGUUCGAUCUGAUGAGGGGAAACUCUUUUGGUAUCGACCGUUGACAGGAUUCGGCUUAUAGGUCAACUG
RNAcentral lists this RNase P RNA (455 nucleotides) under marine eukaryotic metagenome. RNAcentral's name for it is "Bacterial RNase P class A". It matches the Rfam family "Bacterial RNase P class A". From Rfam's summary of the family: Ribonuclease P (RNase P) is a ubiquitous endoribonuclease, found in archaea, bacteria and eukarya as well as chloroplasts and mitochondria. The record is from RNAcentral.